CGAGGACUCUAUAGCAAGCUUCCGUUUUUUAGGAGUCAGUGCCUUCGGCUCCGACACUGUUUUCAUCUUCUUCAAAGUUUCUUGGUCUUCUUUGACAGACCGGGCAGCUUGCCUACUCAGAAUGUUGACAACCGUUUUUCUUUUUGCUCUCCUGCCCCCUUCGUCAAGUCUGUCGUAAUCUGGGUAUUCAAAUUCAGGGCAUCCAUCAUUCGAUUCAACCUUCGUUUCGGCCGGAUGCCGAAGGCAGCAGCCAUUAACUGAUCUUCUUUCUUUGUAUAAUUUCCGAGGAUUUCAUGGCACAUGGUUUCUAUCAUUUCUAACCAUUCAGAACAUGGUUUUUUGAAUUGCUUUUCAAAUUUGAAACGGUAGGGAAGUCAAACAAGUUCAUAUUUUUCCCUCCUUCCUUCUUCUUUGGCAUCCCCCAACCGCUAGAGGUCGAAAAAGUUUAGUUUGCCACAUAUUCCUGCACUAAGUCCCUGGUGCUAAUAUGACUGGCUACCACCCUGAAUUCUACUCUUACCCUAGCUUCAGAGAGCCCAUAUGUAGACACUGAGCCUAAAAUGGCAUUCGGUGUUAGCUGAUGGAGAUAUAUUUCAAAACUUUUCAAAACUAUUCCCAUCAUAUCAUACAGGGGAAAUCGCAACCCUGCCCUGAAGAAGCUCCUAAACAC
RNAcentral lists this long non-coding RNA (670 nucleotides) under Zea mays. RNAcentral's name for it is "drought responsive lncRNA". The record is from RNAcentral. Lineage: Eukaryota; Viridiplantae; Streptophyta; Magnoliopsida; Poales; Poaceae.